UCUCCAGACAGCCGAGCCGGUGUGACGUCUGCCAAGGGUCGAAUACAGAGAGCAGAAAGGGAUGCCAUAGCUCCCCAUUGCCAGGCAGGACCGGUGAACUAACUUGUGGUCAGCCCGGCAGGCUGUUGCAGAGCACAGACUGCCUGCCCUAGGAGUCCUGCAGGAUUAGAAGUGUCUCUCAGGCUCAGUCAUGGUUGGACUGCUUAGACAUUGCUGCAGGGACCCACAGGGGCCUCAGCCCCCGUCUCCCGACUGUGGCCCUUGUAGCAGAGCAGCACGCUCUUGGUUCACAAAGGUGGAGUGAGCUUGGACUCCUGACACCGACUUAAGUUAUGGGAAAGGAGCAUGGGACUACGGCCUUCCGGAAGCUUCCAAAUUUAAACCAACCCCACAGACACGAGACAGAACCGCCUAUAGAGAAUUGUAUUAUAGCCAAGUGCCAGAGUAUAUAUUUAUCUGUGCCUGAGAUUCCCAUCUCUCUUUAAAGAAAGAGCCUCACACUUGGGGGGAAAAUGAAGUGGAAAAAAAUGUACUAUUGAACAAAUAUUCAGGAUGGUUGCUCAUACGAAAUGAUGAACUGGGUUGAAUUCAAAACAAAAAAAAGCUGCCCAUGGUGAA
Long non-coding RNA from Mesocricetus auratus (golden hamster), 618 nucleotides. RefSeq lists it as uncharacterized. The record is from RefSeq and is a predicted model, not a curated record. The transcript has 2 exons. Lineage: Eukaryota; Metazoa; Chordata; Mammalia; Rodentia; Cricetidae.